RNAcentral lists this unclassified non-coding RNA (193 nucleotides) under Peniophora pithya. Its description in RNAcentral is "partial internal transcribed spacer 2". The record is from RNAcentral. Lineage: Eukaryota; Fungi; Basidiomycota; Agaricomycetes; Russulales; Peniophoraceae.
ACUCCUCCACCCUCUGCCUUUUUCGGAAGGCAUUGGGCUGGGAUUUGGGAGCUUGCGGGUCCCUGGCCGAUCCGCUCUCCUUGAAUACAUUAGCGAAGCCCUUGCGGCCUUGGUGUGAUAGUCAUCUACGCCUCGGCUUAGCGAACAUACGGGGACUUGCUUCCAACCGUCUCGCAAGAGACAACUACUACCA